GAUGAACGCUGGCGGCGUGCCUAAUACAUGCAAGUCGAGCGAACAGAUGAGGAGCUUGCUCCUCUGACGUUAGCGGCGGACGGGUGAGUAACACGUGGAUAACCUACCUAUAAGACUGGGAUAACUUCGGGAAACCGGAGCUAAUACCGGAUAAUAUAUUGAACCGCAUGGUUCAAUAGUGAAAGACGGUUUUGCUGUCACUUAUAGAUGGAUCCGCGCCGCAUUAGCUAGUUGGUAAGGUAACGGCUUACCAAGGCAACGAUGCGUAGCCGACCUGAGAGGGUGAUCGGCCACACUGGAACUGAGACACGGCCCAGACUCCUACGGGAGGCGGCAGUAGGGAAUCUUCCGCAAUGGGCGAAAGCCUGACGGAGCAACGCCGCGUGAGUGAUGAAGGUCUUCGGAUCGUAAAACUCUGUUAUUAGGGAAGAACAAAUGUGUAAGUAACUAUGCACGUCUUGACGGUACCUAAUCAGAAAGCCACGGCUAACUACGUG
Molecule: ribosomal RNA, 497 nt
Filed under: uncultured bacterium
Lineage: Bacteria
Description: partial 16S ribosomal RNA
Rfam family: Bacterial small subunit ribosomal RNA
Source: RNAcentral